This 547-nucleotide ribosomal RNA is filed under the name uncultured bacterium. RNAcentral describes it as "bacterial SSU rRNA". It matches the Rfam family "Bacterial small subunit ribosomal RNA", at positions 355 to 896 of the family's 1533-position model. The record is from RNAcentral.
UGGGGAAUAUUGCGCAAUGGGGGGAACCCUGACGCAGCCAUGCCGCGUGAAUGAAGAAGGCCUUGGGGUUGUAAAGUUCUUUCGGUAUUGAGGAAGGUUGAUGUGUUAAUAGCACAUCAAAUUGACGUUAAAUACAGAAGAAGCACCGGCUAACUCCGUGCCAGCAGCCGCGGUAAUACGGAGGGUGCGAGCGUUAAUCGGAAUAACUGGGCGUAAAGGGCACGCAGGCGGUUAUUUAAGUGAGGUGUGAAAGCCCUGGGCUUAACCUAGGAAUUGCAUUUCAGACUGGGUAACUAGAGUACUUUAGGGAGGGGUAGAAUUCCACGUGUAGCGGUGAAAUGCGUAGAGAUGUGGAGGAAUACCGAAGGCGAAGGCAGCCCCUUGGGAAUGUACUGACGCUCAUGUGCGAAAGCGUGGGGAGCAAACAGGAUUAGAUACCCUGGUAGUCCACGCUGUAAACGCUGUCGAUUUGGGGGUUGGGGUUUAACUCUGGCGCCCGUAGCUAACGUGAUAAAUCGACCGCCUGGGGAGUACGGCCGCAAGGUUA